UGGGGGAUAGCUCAGUUGGCAGAGCGUGAGACUCUUGAUCUCAGGUGAAAUAUACUCAGAGUCGAGUGUGGAUUUCAUGCUAUUUAUUCAGCUCAUAGUAGUGAGGAAUGAAAGUUCCCCCAA
This is a non-coding RNA of Podarcis lilfordi (Lilford's wall lizard), 123 nucleotides long. The record is from the annotation of a GenBank genome assembly. Lineage: Eukaryota; Metazoa; Chordata; Lepidosauria; Squamata; Lacertidae.